UGCGGCGUAGCUCAAAUGGCACCAGAGCACUUGUCUCGUAAACAAGUGGUUACGGGUUCAAGUCCCGUCGCCGCAGCCA
This 79-nucleotide transfer RNA is filed under the name Acidobacteriota bacterium. RNAcentral's name for it is "tRNA-Thr". It matches the Rfam family "tRNA". Rfam says of the family: Transfer RNA (tRNA) molecules are approximately 80 nucleotides in length. Their secondary structure includes four short double-helical elements and three loops (D, anti-codon, and T loops). The record is from RNAcentral. Lineage: Bacteria; Pseudomonadati; Acidobacteriota.